UCAUAAAAACCGCACACGUGGUGUUUACUACAUCCGUUAUCAAUUAUGGUUUUUUCAAUUUAAUCCGCGGGCCCAUCAUAAGUCAUCCGGGGCAUUCGGGGCAGAGUCGUUCGAAACUUUGGCGAUGGGUCUGGUAGUUGUCGUAGCAGUCGACAUUGUUCGCGCGACCGCCAGGUGAUCAUGCACACGCACGUACAACUUUGCGAGA
Molecule: non-coding RNA, 208 nt
Organism: Cinara cedri
Lineage: Eukaryota; Metazoa; Arthropoda; Insecta; Hemiptera; Aphididae
Source: the annotation of a GenBank genome assembly